Molecule: long non-coding RNA, 463 nt
Organism: Saccostrea echinata
Lineage: Eukaryota; Metazoa; Mollusca; Bivalvia; Ostreida; Ostreidae
Exons: 3
Source: RefSeq, a predicted model, not a curated record
AACAAACCUAUUUAUAAAAACAAAGAAGCUCCAUUGAAAGUAACUGAAAUCGCCAUCAGAUACAAACGUGUUAUUGAAAACAUAUUUUGGAAAAGAAUCAUGGACAAGUUAGGCAGCAUUAUAUCUGCUGCGACUGGCAUCGCGGAACUUUUAGGAACAUCUGGUGAAGGACAGAUUGAUCGUGGUGGAGGAAAAAUGAUCUCGUGGAGUUUUAAAGGUCAAUUGAUGGGGAUUCAAUGGAAAUACAUUGGAUUAUGUUUGGAUCAAAGUACCGGGGAAACCGGUCACUCUGUUACAAAAAGCAGGAAUGGGGCCAUUGAGCAUUCCAUGAAAGACUUAUUCAACAAACUAGCUUCAAAGGGUUUACUUUAAUAUAUUCUACAAUCAGUUGACGAUACCUAUAUCGGAUAAGAAAUACUAACACUCUCUAAAAAAAUUUAUUAAGCAGAAAAAAAAACUUCAU